This 72-nucleotide transfer RNA is filed under the name Streptosporangiales bacterium. Its description in RNAcentral is "tRNA-Val". It matches the Rfam family "tRNA". From Rfam's summary of the family: Transfer RNA (tRNA) molecules are approximately 80 nucleotides in length. Their secondary structure includes four short double-helical elements and three loops (D, anti-codon, and T loops). Further hydrogen bonds mediate the characteristic L-shaped molecular structure. tRNAs have two regions of fundamental functional importance: the anti-codon, which is responsible for specific mRNA codon recognition, and the 3' end, to which the tRNAs corresponding amino acid is attached (by aminoacyl-tRNA synthetases). tRNAs cope with the degeneracy of the genetic code in two manners: having more than one tRNA (with a specific anti-codon) for a particular amino acid; and 'wobble' base-pairing, i.e. permitting non-standard base-pairing at the 3rd anti-codon position. The record is from RNAcentral. Lineage: Bacteria; Bacillati; Actinomycetota; Actinomycetes; Streptosporangiales.
GGGCGCAUAGCUCAGUGGUAGAGCACCUCGCUUACAACGAGGGGGUCACAGGUUCGAUCCCUGUUGCGCCCA